UUNUUAUUAAUUAUAUAUAAUAAGUAUAUUCUACCCGGUGAUAAAAAUUUAACGGUUAUUUAAAUAGUAUUAAAGUAGCGUAAUAAAUUGUCAUUUAAUUAAUGAAUAUAAUGAAGAUUAUAUGAAUUGAAUACUGUCUUUAAAAAAUAAAAUAAAAUUAAUAAUUUAGUGAAAAAUCUUAAUUAUUUUUGAAAGACGAUAAGACCCUAUAGAACUUAUUUAAAAUUUUAAAUUUACUGGGGAAGUAAAGAUAAAUAUAAAAUUAUCUUUAAAUAUAGAAAUAUUAAAUUUUUUUUAACCAUUAUUUAAUGAUUAAAAAGUUACCUUAGGGAUAMCAGCAUUAAAAAUAUAGAAAGUUCUUAUUUAUAUAUUUUUUAAUGACCUCGAUGUUGAAUUAAGAUAAAUUUAAAAAGUAAAAAUUUUAUUUAAUUAGGUCUGUUCGACCUUUAAAAUCUU
This 456-nucleotide ribosomal RNA is filed under the name Kladothrips acaciae. RNAcentral describes it as "partial 16S ribosomal RNA". The record is from RNAcentral. Lineage: Eukaryota; Metazoa; Arthropoda; Insecta; Thysanoptera; Phlaeothripidae.